This 116-nucleotide ribosomal RNA is filed under the name Neobacillus sp. DY30. The record is from RNAcentral. Lineage: Bacteria; Bacillati; Bacillota; Bacilli; Caryophanales; Bacillaceae.
UCUGGUAAUAAUGGCGAGAAGGUCACACCCGUUCCCAUACCGAACACGGAAGUUAAGCUUUUCAGCGCCGAUGGUAGUUGGGACUUUGUCCCUGUGAGAGUAGGACGUUGCCAGGC